Molecule: ribosomal RNA, 437 nt
Rfam family: Bacterial small subunit ribosomal RNA
ACGGGAGGCAGCAGUGGGGAAUAUUGGGCAGUGGGCGAAAGCCUGACCCAGCAACGCCGCGUGAAGGAAGAAGGUCUUCGGAUUGUAAACUUCUUUUAUGAGGGACGAAGGACGUGACGGUACCUCAUGAAUAAGCCACGGCUAACUACGUGCCAGCAGCCGCGGUAAUACGUAGGUGGCAAGCGUUAUCCGGAUUUACUGGGUGUAAAGGGUGUGUAGGCGGAGAAGCAAGUCAGGCGUGAAAUACACGGGCUCAACCCGUGAACUGCGCUUGAAACUGUUUCCCUUGAGAGUGGGAGAGGUAAACGGAAUUCCUGGUGUAGUAGUGAAAUGCGUAGAUAUCAGGAGGAACACCGGUGGCGAAGGCGGUUUACUGGACCACAACUGACGCUGAGACACGAAAGCGUGGGGAGCAAACAGGAUUAGAUACCCUGGUA